CCUUCUUGAAGGUGGUGAUCUUUUUUUUCUUCUUAUAAUAUUAAUCAGCAGCUAGAUGAUUGUCCAAACCAUAGACAUAGCAGAACCUUCCAUCAUUAUUCUUCUUAAUUAGUCCCUUUUGGCUGAUUGAGUUUAGGUUUACCUUUAAGAUCUUUAUCCUUUGGCUUAAAAUUUCUUCCCUUAAGUUUAAAGUUGUAGUUUUGAAAUUGUCUAGAUUGGUGGCCCUUAAAGUUAUGAUUCUCAUCUUG
Molecule: long non-coding RNA, 248 nt
Filed under: Elaeis guineensis (African oil palm)
Lineage: Eukaryota; Viridiplantae; Streptophyta; Magnoliopsida; Arecales; Arecaceae
Description: long non-coding RNA (EGUI_LNC075399)
Source: RNAcentral